Molecule: ribosomal RNA, 166 nt
Filed under: Zeugites americanus var. mexicanus
Lineage: Eukaryota; Viridiplantae; Streptophyta; Magnoliopsida; Poales; Poaceae
Description: 5.8S ribosomal RNA
Rfam family: 5.8S ribosomal RNA
About the family: 5.8S ribosomal RNA (5.8S rRNA) is a component of the large subunit of the eukaryotic ribosome. It is transcribed by RNA polymerase I as part of the 45S precursor that also contains 18S and 28S rRNA.
Source: RNAcentral
AAAAAUGACUCUCGGCAACGGAUAUCUCGGCUCUCGCAUCGAUGAAGAACGUAGCAAAAUGCGAUACCUGGUGUGAAUUGCAGAAUCCCGUGAACCAUUGAGUUUUUGAACGCAAGUUGCGCCCGAGGUCUUCUGGCCGAGGGCACGCCUGCCUGGGCGUCACGCC